CAGACAUGCAGAGUUCGGAACGGCUCUCUCUGGCCAGCCUGGGUUUCUGGAGAGGGCCCUGAGCCCCAGGCUGCAAGCUCUCCACGGGCCUGCACCCCACUCCACUUUAAUCGCUUUGGGGACCCGUGCUGUCUCCACCUUGGGUAAGGGGCAGUAACAAAGCACCUUUCAGGUUGGCCAUGGUUGCAUGUAGGAUCGUGGCCAUCUCCAGGUACCCAGGUCUCAAAGGUCACUAUAAAGAGACCUGAGUGCCAUACCAAGGUUGCUGGUCAGCUCAGCCUGCCUCCCAGGUGAGGAGGCAUCCGGACCACGCCGCAAAUGCUGGCCUCACCCCUUGCCUCUGCUGUGACAGGAGAGGGCCAUCGAGAGAAGCCACCCCCGGCUUCUUCCUUGGGCCGCAGUCCCGCUCUCUGAAAGCCCUCCCUUCCCCACCCCUAUCUGACAGAGAGAGCAACGCGUCCGUAGUAACUGGACUCAAAUCGAAUAGGACCUGGGUUUUCCUGGUCUGGUCUCCAGCAUGGAAAACGGAGCUCGCCUUCUAGAGGUGAGAGGGUCCUAACUGUGGUGGUGGGUGGCGGCGUCUGCGGAGAGCACCGAGCACCCAGCACGGUCAACCACGGCAAGUCCAGGCCAUGAGGUCAACUGAAGACACAAGAAUGCUGUGACCCACCUUUCUUCACGGGAAUCGCAUUAAAACCCCAAGCUGCAGGUGACUUGUUACAUGCUUCCCGGACCUCCCUCAUAUGGGACCUAUCAAAAGCCGUAUGUUCCUUACCCGGAUCCCAUUUCUGGAUCACUUCAUCUCAAUCCAUCUCUCCCUCGUCUGGAUUCAAAGUGCUUGCUGUUUGGACUUGUCACCUGACACUGGUCUUAUGCUGCCUUAUACUGGAUUAGACUGCAUGUGUUUCCUCUCGGCUAGAUUGUUGUUUGUUGCAAGGUCACACUUCAAUUGAACAUAACCAAAAGGAAGGUGAUAACUUGGCCCUUCUCAGUCCUGUUCCGAGGACUUCUGCAGGUUUAAGCCAUUUAACUCUCCCAGCAUCCUUGUGUGAAGUAGGUGAUGCCUUCUUCUUCUCAGGACAGAGUAGACUCACGUGGCAGGCAAGUCACAUCAAAUCUUGGUCUUCGGGACUUAAACCUUAGGCUCACAUUCUCAUUAAAUAUUUACUACAUAGAGAGCAAAGUAAUACCCCCAAACCCAAGAAGAAGAGGAGAGCUAGGAUUUAGACCCUCUU
RNAcentral lists this long non-coding RNA (1235 nucleotides) under Vulpes vulpes (red fox). Its description in RNAcentral is "lncRNA (ENSVVUG00000012895.1)". The record is from RNAcentral. Lineage: Eukaryota; Metazoa; Chordata; Mammalia; Carnivora; Canidae.